CCUACGGGAGGCAGCAGUGAGGAAUAUUGGUCAAUGGACGAGAGUCUGAACCAACCAAGUAGCGUGAAGGAUGACUGCCCUAUGGGUUGUAAACUUCUUUUAUAUGGGAAUAAAACGUUCCACGUGUGGGAUUUUGUAUGUACCAUAUGAAUAAGGAUCGGCUAACUCCGUGCCAGCAGCCGCGGUAAUACGGAGGAUCCGAGCGUUAUCCGGAUUUAUUGGGUUUAAAGGGAGCGUAGGUGGAUUGUUAAGUCAGUUGUGAAAGUUUGCGGCUCAACCGUAAAAUUGCAGUUGAAACUGGCAGUCUUGAGUACAGUAGAGGUGGGCGGAAUUCGUGGUGUAGCGGUGAAAUGCUUAGAUAUCACGAAGAACUCCGAUUGCGAAGGCAGUUCACUGGACUGCAACUGACACUGAGGCUCGAAAGUGUGGGUAUCAAACAGGAUUAGAUACCCUUGUAGUC
Molecule: ribosomal RNA, 460 nt
Filed under: uncultured bacterium
Lineage: Bacteria
Description: partial 16S ribosomal RNA
Rfam family: Bacterial small subunit ribosomal RNA
Source: RNAcentral